AGAGUUUGAUCCUGGCUCAGGACGAACGCUGGCGGCGUGCCUAAUACAUGCAAGUAGAACGCUGAAGAGAGGAGCUUGCUCUUCUUGGAUGAGUUGCGAACGGGUGAGUAACGCGUAGGUAACCUGCCUUGUAGCGGGGGAUAACUAUUGGAAACGAUAGCUAAUACCGCAUAACAAUGGAUGACACAUGUCAUUUAUUUGAAAGGGGCAAUUGCUCCACUACAAGAUGGACCUGCGUUGUAUUAGCUAGUAGGUGAGGUAACGGCUCACCUAGGCGACGAUACAUAGCCGACCUGAGAGGGUGAUCGGCCACACUGGGACUGAGACACGGCCCAGACUCCUACGGGAGGCAGCAGUAGGGAAUCUUCGGCAAUGGGGGCAACCCUGACCGAGCAACGCCGCGUGAGUGAAGAAGGUUUUCGGAUCGUAAAGCUCUGUUGUAAGUCAAGAACGAGUGUGAGAGUGGAAAGUUCACACUGUGACGGUAGCUUACCAGAAAGGGACGGCUAACUACGUGCCAGCAGCCGCGGUAAUACGUAGGUCCCGAGCGUUGUCCGGAUUUAUUGGGCGUAAAGCGAGCGCAGGCGGUUUGAUAAGUCUGAAGUUAAAGGCUGUGGCUCAACCAUAGUUCGCUUUGGAAACUGUCAAACUUGAGUGCAGAAGGGGAGAGUGGAAUUCCAUGUGUAGCGGUGAAAUGCGUAGAUAUAUGGAGGAACACCGGUGGCGAAAGCGGCUCUCUGGUCUGUAACUGACGCUGAGGCUCGAAAGCGUGGGGAGCGAACAGGAUUAGAUACCCUGGUAGUCCACGCCGUAAACGAUGAGUGCUAGGUGUUGGAUCCUUUCCGGGAUUCAGUGCCGCAGCUAACGCAUUAAGCACUCCGCCUGGGGAGUACGACCGCAAGGUUGAAACUCAAAGGAAUUGACGGGGGCCCGCACAAGCGGUGGAGCAUGUGGUUUAAUUCGAAGCAACGCGAAGAACCUUACCAGGUCUUGACAUCCCGAUGCUAUUUCUAGAGAUAGAAAGUUACUUCGGUACAUCGGUGACAGGUGGUGCAUGGUUGUCGUCAGCUCGUGUCGUGAGAUGUUGGGUUAAGUCCCGCAACGAGCGCAACCCCUAUUGUUAGUUGCCAUCAUUCAGUUGGGCACUCUAGCGAGACUGCCGGUAAUAAACCGGAGGAAGGUGGGGAUGACGUCAAAUCAUCAUGCCCCUUAUGACCUGGGCUACACACGUGCUACAAUGGUUGGUACAACGAGUUGCGAGUCGGUGACGGCAAGCUAAUCUCUUAAAGCCAAUCUCAGUUCGGAUUGUAGGCUGCAACUCGCCUACAUGAAGUCGGAAUCGCUAGUAAUCGCGGAUCAGCACGCCGCGGUGAAUACGUUCCCGGGCCUUGUACACACCGCCCGUCACGCCACGAGAGUUUGUAACACCCGAAGUCGGUGAGGUAACCUUUUGGAGCCAGCCGCCUAAGGUGGGAUAGAUGAUUGGGGUGAAGUCGUAACAAGGUA
Molecule: ribosomal RNA, 1506 nt
Filed under: metagenome
Description: bacterial SSU rRNA
Rfam family: Bacterial small subunit ribosomal RNA
Source: RNAcentral